Molecule: ribosomal RNA, 253 nt
Filed under: uncultured bacterium
Lineage: Bacteria
Description: partial 16S ribosomal RNA
Rfam family: Bacterial small subunit ribosomal RNA
Source: RNAcentral
UACGGAGGGGGCUAGCGUUGUUCGGAAUUACUGGGCGUAAAGCGCGCGUAGGCGGACCUGCAAGUCGGGGGUGAAAGCCCGAGGCUCAACCUCGGAACUGCCUUCGAUACUGCGGGUCUCGAGUCCGGGAGAGGUGAGUGGAAUUCCUAGUGUAGAGGUGAAAUUCGUAGAUAUUAGGAAGAACACCAGUGGCGAAGGCGGCUCACUGGCCCGGUACUGACGCUGAGGCGCGAAUGCGUGGGGAGCAAACAGG